GAUGAUACGCGAUAUUUUUAACUUAGACCUAAUUUUUAUACCUCCGUCCAAAGGAUAAAAUUAAAUAUUUUAUUCAUUUCAUACUCCUCAAGUAACAAUGUCAGGUCAAGGUGAAGUUUAUGUUUAAGUUUCAAUGAGUUAUCAAUAAAUAUCAUUUAUGGACUUUUGUUUAAAACCAAAAAUCGAAUUAAGAUUUAAAAGUAUUUUCAAUUCAAUACAUCGAAAAGAAUAAGCAAAAAAGGUGUACAUAUCGCCCGUCGCCCUCGUCUAAAGAUGAGGUAAGUCGUAACACAGUUAAUAUACUGGAAAGUGUAUUAGGUGUAUUUCUUCUUAGCUUUUAGUAUUUCACUUACACUGAAAAGAUCUCAUUUAUCUUAAUUCUGAUUUUAUUUACAAGAUCUUUGCUCUUUUUCUUGUCUAAUUUAGAUCCUCAAAAACUGAAAAGGAUUAUUAUAUCAUCAUUUAAGUAAAUUAAUGUACCUUUUGUAUCAGGGAUUUUCAAAUCAUAAUGCAAAUUCCAGAUUCCCGAAAUAAAACGAACUUCUUAUCUUAGUAAAAGUUGUGACAUAAACUAUAUAAAUACUAUGAAGUUGAGAUAUUCUUUUCAAGCUUUCCUUUAUCUGGUUCACUCCACCCUUUUCUCAAGAUCUCACAAAGAAUAAGCUUAGUGACAAGGUCCAUCACCUUUCUUUGUCUAAAUCUAGAUUUAACAGUAUCCACAUUGUUUUCAAACUCUUUUCCCCCCCUCUUCACCCCGACAUAAUCCAAGUGAACUAUUUAUGCCUCCUUACAAUGAAAAUAUGAGUAAAAUUUUCCCUUUUCUUCAUUUUUUAAAUCCCCCCCCUCGCAUAAGUUUAUUUUGAAUUUAUGAACUAGGCCCUCAAUCGAUUGACUGUUUACCAAAAACAUAGCUAAUAGAUUCCUAAUUACUAGUAAUACCUGCUCCAUGAAAAAUAA
RNAcentral lists this ribosomal RNA (957 nucleotides) under Calisoga sp. H DHL-215. RNAcentral's name for it is "partial 12S ribosomal RNA". The record is from RNAcentral. Lineage: Eukaryota; Metazoa; Arthropoda; Arachnida; Araneae; Nemesiidae.